AAGUUCAGACGUUAGGAUUCAGGGUUGGAAUAUCACCAGUCUUAACUGGAGAGGGCAAGACUAGCACCUUUUGUAGGUGUACCCUUCUACUCGGAAGUCAGAGUUGGUGCCACCUAAGUGGGUUCCUGAUGCAGGGGAUUUGAGGACAUCCUCUUCCUUCAACUGUAAGUCACCAAGGGCUCUGGACAUUGUGAAAAUUUCCCUUUCAGUUAGGCCGAACGUUCCUGUCCAUAAAAACAGAAGCCUGGCCCGGGCCACUCUCUUGUGUGAAUCUGCAAAGCCAGCUCCUCUCCAUUGGUUUGGUUUUGUUUCUUGUAUCUCUGGGAAGGCAGGCAGACAGCACGGUCACCUGUGAAUGCAGCCACAAUUGGCUUAGCUGCCUCACUGAUAAAUGUGCCCCGAGUAAGCUACAGAGGGAUUAUCAGCGUUCCCAGCAGCUAAAGGUAUAAUCAAGUGUAAAGGAGGCAUGUGUCACACCGACUUUCAGAGAGAAGACCCUCCCCAUAAGACAGAUGUCUUUGAUUAUGCAGUGCAGCUUGCCCAUGUAAACCUCUUGCAUUGUUUGGAGAUCCUAUCCCAUGCCAAGGAUCUAGCCACCCACAAGCAGGCACAUUGCUGUCCAAACAGAUGGACAAGGGAGAUAGGCAAGCCAAAGCCCAUGGACGAACAUGAAAUGAAUUGGUGCAGAGAAGCCAAAGGUAUUGGAAAUGAAUGCUAGUCUUUGCUGUUCAGUUUCCAGUGUAAGGAUGGACCAGUGUGGAUGAGGCUUCGAUACUGAGCUGCAAACAAAGGAAAAAGUGAAUGAGUACAAUAAGCUGGAUGUUUCAACAGGUGCAUGAAAGCCCACACGAGCAUGAGUAGCUCCGAAAUGCUUAAGUCAGUGCACCUUUAUGUCAUCUUCAGCGGAGUCAGUUCUGAAAAGACACCCCUGGGCCAAUCACCCAUCAACAAUCAUUCAUUCUUUAUUCAAAAAAUAUUUGUCGAGCAUCUAACAUGUUGGAGACACUGGUCGGCACCAGGACCUUGUGGAACGAGCCAACUCCCUCCUGUGACAGCAAUGGUUCUUCAAGGUUUCUCCCCUGGGAACUGCGGAAGAUUUCCCCAGCAAAAGGUAGAAGCUUGAUGUCUUAUAGAUGAAGACUGGGGAGACUGGGAAGACCCAUCCAGGGUACUGACACUGGUCUUCGGGGGCCAGGAUCCCUGCUCAUGCCUCAAGCUACCUGUAAUGAAAAGUCCAGUGUCUGCCACCUGUCUCACAGAUCUGUCCUGAGGAUUAAUGAGAUCAUGUCUGUAGAUAAAGCCUGAGAAGUCUUCAGAAGGAAAUUACAGGAGGAUUCUUAUUUUGGGUGGCCACCUUGCAGAGGACCAUAGAAUUUUGGGUGAGCCCCUCAAUGCCUGGAUUUACUGUUGGAGAGACUGUGCAGUCUACAUUAGAUAAUUUACUGUGAAGCGUGGAAACAUUUGAAAAGGAAACCAUGCCUGACCCGGCUAAUGGGUGGAUAUUUUAAGACAUCUUAACUAAGGUCCUUCUGUUCCUGAGAGAUGCCACAUCCUCUUUCAUCAUAAUAUUCUUCAAAAAUAUGAAUUCAUUUAUUCAGUUUUUAUUGAGUGAUUUCUCUGCAUCAGGCACCCCAGAUUCUGGUUCUUAUGGAACUUACCUUCUAGUUGGGAGAAAAAGACACAAACAAGUAACAGGAUCAUCAAGCACUGAUAAUGACAAUGAAGGAACUGGUAGAUUGUGAUAAGAAGCUAAGGUUUGGAACUCAUUUGAAUCAGAGUCCAACCUGGCCCUCCGCUUGACCUUAGGUGAGGGAACGGAGGCUUAAAAAGAUUAAAUAAUUUGUCCAAGACCACAUGGCUCAUAACUGGUGGAGCUACAAUUUAGAACCAGAUACUUGUUUCCAGAGCCUUCUGCUUUUGGGCCCAUGAUGAGGACAUGAAAGAGCAAAAUCUUCUGGAAGACUAGAAAGUUGUAUCCUUUUGCAUGUGGAGUCUUUAAAAGAUGUACCUUCAGACGGUGGCUUCUUUACCAACAGUUCUUAUAUGGCAGGCGAAGGAUGUAACACUGAAAGGAUAGAUGAGCAAGUAAAAUCCCACCUCUUAUUGCUUGUGAGGAAAUCCAUUAAUGUAUUUACUCUCUAUCCUGAUGGUGGACAAAUGGGACAACCAUAGAGAGCAGAAACUGGAAGUCCAGUCUCUUGACCCCUUUACAAUAGGUCACUCUUAGGGUGACAAGGGGCAAAACCAAUACACCAGAAAAUCUAGCAGGGUCAGAAGGUGAAUAAUUUCUUCUUCCUUCAAGGUCCCACUGUGGUCCUCUGGGUUAAGAAUCUGACUGCAGCAGCUCAGGUUGCUGCGGGAGCUUGGGUUUGAUCCCCUGCUCAGCCCAGCGGUUUAAAGAAUCCAGCACUGCUGUGGCUCUGGCAUAGAUCUCAGCUGUGGCUCAGAUUUAAUCCCUGGCCCGGGAACUUCCCUAUACUGGGAGUGUGGCCAUAACAAUAAAAAUAAAUAAAUAAAUAAAUAAAGAUUCAUUUCUUACCCCUGCUGCCUGUUCUUUAGAAGCCUUUUGCUCCUGACGGCUUCAGGCAGUGACGUGAACUGAUGGAGCCUCUCACACCUGGAAUGUUCAUGGUUGCUGUGUAUGUAGGAGAAGAAAACUUAGGAAAUCGUUCACUGGCUCUUAAAAAUUCCUUGCCUGUAAGUGACACCUGUCACUUUUGCUCAGGAUUCAUUUUUUAAGGCAAAUCACAUAAACCCAGCUAGCUUCAAGUGCAUGGGGAAUUUGCUUAGAAGGAGAGGAAACUGAAACAUUGGUAAAUAGCAUUAAUGGCUCUAGAAUAAAAUCCCUCAAUCAUACUCAAAUACGCUUAACCAAAACCAGAUAAAAUUGUUCAGUUAAUAAAAUAGAUCUUGAUUAUUUCAAGCAGAUGAUCACAUAUUCCACCAUCAUGUUUCCCUUGGCCUUUGUUUGUCUGUUGGUUGGUCUUUCCCACACAGCCCUGAGCUUUUGAAGGCAGUGAGGGGUCUUAUUUAUCUUUGAUUAUUUAGUGUCUAGUGCAGUGUUAGCAGCAUAUGCCUUGGUCAGCUUGGGCUGUGAUAACAAAACAAACAAUAGAAAUCAAUUUUCUCACAGUUCUGGAAGCUAAAAGUAAGAUCAAGGUGCCAGCAUGGUUGGUUUCUGGUGAGAACUCUCUUCCUGGUUUGCAGAUGACUGUCUCCUCAUUCUGUCUUCCAAUGGCCCUUCCUUGAUCCACGCACAUGGGGGAGAAAGAACUCUCUGGUAUCUCUUCUUAAAGGAUACUAAUCCUAUUGGAUCAGGGCCCCAUCCUUAUGAUCUCAUUUAACCUUACUUACUUUCGAACUCCAAAUAAAGCUGCACAGGGCUUAGGGCUUCAGCAUAUGAAUUUUAGGGGGAUACAAACGUUCAGUCUCUAACAGCAUGGUAAGCCUCAUUGUUUCUUGAAUGAGUGGGUAGAUGAGUGAAUGAUUCCAGCUAACCAAUAGUCUUCCUUUAGUGCCCAGCCCCUGAGCACAUGCCACUUUGCCCAUCUUCCUCUCCCUUGCACUCUUUCUUCACUUGUGAGGUCCACUCAUCUUUCAAGACCCAACUAGAAUAUUGCUGCCCUAGGGAAACCCUUUCUGAUCUACACAACCUCUUGUACCUUCCCAAGCCUAACUAGUUGUUUUGUCUUCUUCUGGAACACUUGAUACCUCCCUCAGUUAGGAGAUAAUUAUAAUUUGGUUUUACAUAGUAAAUUGUCUCCCAUACUGGUCUCUGAGCCCCUACAGAGUAGGGACUAGUAAGUGGGAGGAGCCUGGUACUAGCCAUGGGACCUGACUCAUGUACAUAUUCAAAAUUUACUGGUCAAAUAAACAACUGCACUAAUGGGUGUUCUGAAUUAUAUGCCUUUUUGACAUGUUACUCUUCUACUGUAUGCGUGUCUGUGUAUGUGUGUGUAUACUCCUAGGUUUGAUAUGCAGUUUACCCAUGAGACUGGGGUUGUCAGUAACUGCAGGGGGAUUAGAACCCUCGCUAUGCUUGUCAUUAAAGCACAUUCACAUGCAUACAAUGAAGGCAACUGGUCUUGUUGUCUCAUCUUUGCUUGAUUCAUUCUCAGCUAAGAUGUCCAUCUCACACUUGCAGGUUUGAUGCUGUCUCUUCAGAAUCUGAGCAGUCCUCCAGGAUGGCAGGGAAAACACCUAUUCACUGCUGUGUCCCCAGAGCCCAGCACAAAGCAUGGCAUGUAGUGAGUGCUUACUAAAGGUUUGUUGAAUGACUGAAUCAAGCAACCAAGGCCCUAGAAAGACAGGUCAAAGAACAUCCUUUUAAGAGACUUAGGACUUUAAAGAGGAAGAGGAUCUCGGCAUCAUAGAUGCCUUGACUUGGAAGAUACUAUGUCAGAUGUGCUCAGCUGGAUUCCAAACUGUGUCACUGCAAAAGCUUCGAGAAGAUAAUGACCAUGUCUCCUAUCAUGAAGACCUGGCGAGUGGAGAGUCUCCAGUAUGUCAGCCUGCAGGAGCUUCACUGGCUAGAACAGGGACUACGACUGAAGGCAAGGCCUGAGCCCUUUCCUCUUUGUAUCCCUGGUGGAACAGGCUAACAAUUCUGUCUGUGGAAGGCAUGGACGGCUGUGGAGAUGGUGUACCCUUAGCUUUGCCCACAAGGUUCCAAGGACAGAGCAACUCCCUAUCAAAAUAGAAACUCAAUAAAUAAUUCGUGGCAAAGAAUGAAACUGUGGGGUUAUGUGCAAAUAUAAAGCAUGUGAGCGGGUAUGCCCGUUGUACGUGGAGCCAGGAAGGAGGCGGGGCAGCCAUCCGCUGGUUUCUCCUGCCUGCCUCUGCAAACUACUCUGGUUACCCGGCCUCCACCGCAGGCCCUUGGCAGGGGCGGUGCGCUGGGUCUGCGCGGUGCUGGCAGCCGCAGAGUGGAGGGUGAACCCGAUGGCCUCUUCAGUCUAUUUAGCAGGCUCUGAGAUGUGUAAGUACAUUAUCUGCAAGGCUGGUAAAGAGCGCUUGGGGAGGAUUUGUGGGUCUGUGGGAAGGACAAAGAAAAAUGUUUUCUAAUAAAUUAUUCACCGUCUC
Molecule: long non-coding RNA, 5082 nt
Filed under: Sus scrofa (pig)
Lineage: Eukaryota; Metazoa; Chordata; Mammalia; Artiodactyla; Suidae
Description: lncRNA (ENSSSCG00000051600.2)
Source: RNAcentral